Non-coding RNA from Triticum aestivum (bread wheat), 125 nucleotides. NCBI's taxonomy places the organism in Eukaryota, Viridiplantae, Streptophyta, Magnoliopsida, Poales, Poaceae. The record is from Rfam.
UACAUACUCCCUCCGUUCGGAAAUACUUGUCGAAGAAAUGCAUAAAAAUGGAUGUAUCUAGAAUUAAAAUACGUCUAGAUACAUCAAUUCCUCCAACAAGUAUUUCUGGACGGAGGGAGUACCAC